Non-coding RNA from Phyllosticta capitalensis, 75 nucleotides. Lineage: Eukaryota; Fungi; Ascomycota; Dothideomycetes; Botryosphaeriales; Phyllostictaceae. The record is from the annotation of a GenBank genome assembly.
GGGUUGGUGGUGAAGCGGUAUCACAUGUCUGUGGUUCCCACAGGCAAGUCUCAGGUUCAAGUCCUGAUCGGCCUC